Molecule: ribosomal RNA, 461 nt
Filed under: uncultured bacterium
Lineage: Bacteria
Description: bacterial SSU rRNA
Rfam family: Bacterial small subunit ribosomal RNA
Source: RNAcentral
CUACGGGAGGCAGCAGUAAGGAAUAUUGGACAAUGGCCGCAAGGCUGAUCCAGCCAUGCCGCGUGCAGGAAGAAGGACCUAUGGUUUGUAAACUGCUUUUGUACCAGAGAAAACCCCCUUACGUGUAAGGGGCUGAUAGUAUGGUAAGAAUAAGCAUCGGCUAACUUCGUGCCAGCAGCCGCGGUAAGACGAAGGAUGCAAGCGUUAUCCGGAUUCAUUGGGUUUAAAGGGAGCGUAGGCGGGUAGGUAAGUCAGUGGUGAAAUCCCAUCGCUUAACGAUGGAACUGCCAUUGAUACUGCUUAUCUAGAGUACAGUUGCCGUUGGCGGAAUAUGACAUGUAGUGGUGAAAUACUUAGAUAUGUCAUAGAACACCGAUUGCGAAGGCAGCUAACGAAGCUGUAACUGACGCUGAGGCUCGAAAGUGCGGGGAUCAAACAGGAUUAGAUACCCCGGUAGUCCG